AGAUUCUUGAAUUUGAUGAUCUGACUCAUGUCAACUUCAUCGUCCUCCUCGUACGCAUGCGCUCUGCAACCUUAACCUAAGUACACUGUGAGGUGAGUUCCUUGGGUACACGCGGGAAUGGCUGCUGCAUCUGGCAUGCCAGAGGAGGAGACAGCGAUGUUUCCCGACAAAAGUGUCCAUCCCAGGUUGGAUGUCUACGUGUGGGACAUGGAUGAGACCCUUGUACUGCUCAACUCCUUGCUGAAAUCAUCAUACGCUGAGGCUUUCAAUGGUCUGAAGGAUGUGCAGAAGGGGGUGGAAAUCGGGAGGACAUGGGAAAAUCUCAUUCUACAAAUAUGUGAUGAUUAUUUCUUCUAUGAACAAAUUGAAAAUUACAAUAAGCCUUUUCUUGAUGCUCUGGCCCAAUAUGAUGAUGGGAGGGACCUAUCUGAUUAUGACUUCAACGAAGAUGAAUUAGUUUCCCCACAUGAUGAUGCCAACAAAAGAAAACUGGCAUAUAGGCAUCGAGUCAUUGCCCAAAAGUACUUACAGGGUUUACGGAAUAUUUUAGAUAAUAAGACAAUAAAACUUUGGGAUGAAUUGUAUGAUAAAACUGAUGAAUAAACUGACAGGUGGCUUUCAUCAGCACGGACCUUUUUGAAGGAGUGUUCGGGUGAAGAUAAAGAUGCAGUUUAUUCUAUUGCUUUUGCUAACACCAGCUCAAACUCAACUAAUGCAAAGCAUGUAAAUGUUUUAGUGACAUCUGGAUCGUUAGUUCCCUCACUUGUGAAAUGCAUGCUCUUUCAUCUGGACAGCUUAAUAACGCAUGGAAAUGUUUAUAGCUCAUGGGAAGUGGGGAAAAUUCAAUGUUUCCGAUGGAUCAAGGAGCGUUUCAACCAUCCCAAUGUUCGCUUUUGUGUAAUUGGAGAUGGAUGGGAAGAGUGUGAGGCUGCAGAAAUCAUGAGAUGGCCAUUUGUUAAGAUUGAUCCACGGCCUGGAAAACUUCACAGGUUCCCUGGUCUCACUUUGACAACAAUUAGCCACUACUUUUCUGUCGUGUAUGGAAGGCCGGACAACGAGAAUGGUGAAGAAUGAUGCAAGAUCUUCAUGUCAUCUACACUUUUCUGGGAUACCUAUCUGUAACAAUAAUAUAAAAUGAAUGCAGCAACAUGCCCAGCAAUUUUAUUGCCAAGUGUAUGCAUUGCUUCCAUGAGAUAGCUAUCAAUAUCAGGUGCCAAUUGCUUUUGAAGAAAUUAGGUGGAGCUAUUUUUCUAUGGAAUGCAUGAUCAUAACUUUAUGUUGCAGAAAUGUAUGUAGAUCAUUCACCAGUUAUAAUGUACAUAAGAUGUUUAAAAUUCAUCUGUGUUCCUUCUGUAGGGCCCUCAGCCCAUUAUUAUGUAUGUCCUUUCUAUGCUUAUUUGGCAGUAGGAACUGCAAAUUUGAAGCCACACAUGGCUAA
RNA transcript from Glycine soja, 1438 nucleotides. It is a transcript of the gene named eyes absent homolog, with no coding region annotated. The record is from RefSeq and is a predicted model, not a curated record. The transcript has 6 exons. NCBI's taxonomy places the organism in Eukaryota, Viridiplantae, Streptophyta, Magnoliopsida, Fabales, Fabaceae.